GCCCAGAUGGGAUUAGCUUGUUGGUGAGGUAACGGCUCACCAAGGCGACGAUCCCUAGCUGGUCUGAGAGGAUGACCAGCCACACUGGAACUGAGACACGGUCCAGACUCCUACGGGAGGCAGCAGUGGGGAAUAUUGCACAAUGGGCGCAAGCCUGAUGCAGCCAUGCCGCGUGUAUGAAGAAGGCCUUCGGGUUGUAAAGUACUUUCAGCGGGGAGGAAGGUGUUGUGGUUAAUAACCGCAGCAAUUGACGUUACCCGCAGAAGAAGCACCGGCUAACUCCGUGCCAGCAGCCGCGGUAAUACGGAGGGUGCAAGCGUUAAUCGGAAUUACUGGGCGUAAAGCGCACGCAGGCGGUCUGUCAAGUCGGAUGUGAAAUCCCCGGGCUCAACCUGGGAACUGCAUUCGAAACUGGCAGGCUUGAGUCUUGUAGAGGGGGGUAGAAUUCCAGGUGUAGCGGUGAAAUGCGUAGAGAUCUGGAGGAAUACCGGUGGCGAAGGCGGCCCCCUGGACAAAGACUGACGCUCAGGUGCGAAAGCGUGGGGAGCAAACAGGAUUAGAUACCCUGGUAGUCCACGCCGUAAACGAUGUCUACUUGGAGGUUGUGCCCUUGAGGCGUGGCUUCCGGAGCUAACGCGUUAAGUAGACCGCCUGGGGAGUACGGCCGCAAGGUUAAAACUCAAAUGAAUUGACGGGGGCCCGCACAAGCGGUGGAGCAUGUGGUUUAAUUCGAUGCAACGCGAAGAACCUUACCUGGUCUUGACAUCCACAGAAGAAUCCAGAGAUGGAUUUGUGCCUUCGGGAACUGUGAGACAGGUGCUGCAUGGCUGUCGUCAGCUCGUGUUGUGAAAUGUUGGGUUAAGUCCCGCAACGAGCGCAACCCUUAUCCUUUGUUGCCAGCGGUUAGGCCGGGAACUCAAAGGAGACUGCCAGUGAUAAACUGGAGG
Molecule: ribosomal RNA, 947 nt
Filed under: Salmonella enterica
Lineage: Bacteria; Pseudomonadati; Pseudomonadota; Gammaproteobacteria; Enterobacterales; Enterobacteriaceae
Description: bacterial SSU rRNA
Rfam family: Bacterial small subunit ribosomal RNA
Source: RNAcentral